This is a long non-coding RNA of Macadamia integrifolia, 689 nucleotides long. RefSeq lists it as uncharacterized. NCBI's taxonomy places the organism in Eukaryota, Viridiplantae, Streptophyta, Magnoliopsida, Proteales, Proteaceae. The record is from RefSeq and is a predicted model, not a curated record. The transcript has 3 exons.
UCCAUUGGAUUUGAUUGUUCUUCUGGAUGAGAUUUUUUGAGGUAUCAGUCUCCCAUAUUGAAUCAAGCAUUCAAAAUAAAUGGUCAUUGACUUAGGCGAGAAGGGUUCGGCUUAAGGUUGGAUGGCCGUGGCCCUUGCGCCAUUGGUGGGCGGAUAUGGUGGAUUUUCCGCAGUUAGUGAGCCCCUGUGCAUGGUUCUCUGAUCUAUGACAAGAGAGAUAUGAAGUGAGGGAAAAGAAGAUAUCUAAGAAGAGAUCGAGAGGAUUGAAGGCAAUGGGAAGCAUGGAAAGCGAAUCAGAAUGCGCAGUGAGGGUUUUGUAAGAGAUGAUGACAAUGAUGAUGCAAGAAACGGUAGGUUUUGGAAGAAUUUGGUAAGAUAGAGCAAAAGGAAUUGAACCUUGUGAAGACAUGGGUGACAGAUCGGUGUUUGAAUUUGGGAAAGUAUUGUUAAGGAGGGGAAGAAGGGGAGGAAGGUGUGCUUACGAUUGCUAGAUACGUCGGUUAUGAGAAAUAAUAAGAAGAUGAAAUGCAAAACUCUCUCUCUCUAUGUGAAAAUGUGAAUAAAGCGAAACAAAUUAGCUUGGGAAUCACCGUAACGGAACUAAAAGCUUUCUUCAUAGCUUCAACGAUUACCUAUUUUGAUGUUGCCCUAUUCCCCGUCACAUAGUACUUAUCGUCUUCCAAGGGGUG